RNAcentral lists this ribosomal RNA (479 nucleotides) under uncultured bacterium. Its description in RNAcentral is "bacterial SSU rRNA". It matches the Rfam family "Bacterial small subunit ribosomal RNA", at positions 707 to 1186 of the family's 1533-position model. The record is from RNAcentral.
CGGCCGCGUCGACGGCAGGUCUCUGGGCAGUAACUGACGCUGAGGAGCGAAAGCAUGGGGAGCGAACAGGAUUAGAUACCCUGGUAGUCCAUGCCGUAAACGGUGGGCGCUAGGUGUGAGGCCCUUCCACGGGUUUCGUGCCGUAGCUAACGCAUUAAGCGCCCCGCCUGGGGAGUACGGCCGCAAGGCUAAAACUCAAAGGAAUUGACGGGGGCCCGCACAAGCGGCGGAGCAUGUGGAUUAAUUCGAUGCAACGCGAAGAACCUUACCUGGGCUUGACAUACACUGAAUCGGGCUAGAGAUAGUCUUUCCCUUGUGGUUGGUGUACAGGUGGUGCAUGGUUGUCGUCAGCUCGUGUCGUGAGAUGUUGGGUUAAGUCCCGCAACGAGCGCAACCCUUGUCUUAUGUUGCCAGCAUGUUGUGGUGGGCACUUAUGAGAGACUGCCGGGGUUAACUCGGAGGAAGGUGGGGAUGACGUC